Molecule: ribosomal RNA, 1084 nt
Filed under: Chryseobacterium sp.
Lineage: Bacteria; Pseudomonadati; Bacteroidota; Flavobacteriia; Flavobacteriales; Weeksellaceae
Description: bacterial SSU rRNA
Rfam family: Bacterial small subunit ribosomal RNA
Source: RNAcentral
UGCAAGCCCGAAGCGGUAGAAGAUGUCUUUCGGAAUCUGUGAGAGCGGCGUACGGGUGCGGAACACGUGUGCAACCUGCCUUUAUCUGGGGGAUAGCCUUUCGAAAGGAAGAUUAAUACCCCAUAAUAUAUUGAUUGGCAUCACUUGAUAUUGAAAACUCCGGUGGAUAGAGAUGGGCACGCGCAAGAUUAGAUAGUUGGUGAGGUAACGGCUCACCAAGUCAGUGAUCUUUAGGGGGCCUGAGAGGGUGAUCCCCCACACUGGUACUGAGACACGGACCAGACUCCUACGGGAGGCAGCAGUGAGGAAUAUUGGACAAUGGGUGAGAGCCUGAUCCAGCCAUCCCGCGUGAAGGACGACGGCCCUAUGGGUUGUAAACUUCUUUUGUAUAGGGAUAAACCUUUCCACGUGUGGAAAGCUGAAGGUACUAUACGAAUAAGCACCGGCUAACUCCGUGCCAGCAGCCGCGGUAAUACGGAGGGUGCAAGCGUUAUCCGGAUUUAUUGGGUUUAAAGGGUCCGUAGGCGGGCUCGUAAGUCAGUGGUGAAAUCUCAUAGCUUAACUAUGAAACUGCCAUUGAUACUGCGAGCCUUGAGUAAGGUAGAGGUAGCUGGAAUAAGUAGUGUAGCGGUGAAAUGCAUAGAUAUUACUUAGAACACCAAUUGCGAAGGCAGGUUACCAUGUCUUAACUGACGCUGAUGGACGAAAGCGUGGGGAGCGAACAGGAUUAGAUACCCUGGUAGUCCACGCCGUAAACGAUGCUAACUCGUUUUUGGGUCUUCGGAUUCAGAGACUAAGCGAAAGUGAUAAGUUAGCCACCUGGGGAGUACGUUCGCAAGAAUGAAACUCAAAGGAAUUGACGGGGGCCCGCACAAGCGGUGGAUUAUGUGGUUUAAUUCGAUGAUACGCGAGGAACCUUACCAAGGCUUAAAUGGGAAUUGACAGGUUUAGAAAUAGACUUUUCUUCGGACAAUUUUCAAGGUGCUGCAUGGUUGUCGUCAGCUCGUGCCCUGAGGUGUUAGGUUAAUUCCUGCAACGAAGCGCAACCCCUGUCACUAGUUGCUAGCAUUAAGUUGAGGACUCU